This 703-nucleotide ribosomal RNA is filed under the name Dinophysis sp. MR39.1. Its description in RNAcentral is "LSU rRNA". It matches the Rfam family "Eukaryotic large subunit ribosomal RNA", at positions 40 to 643 of the family's 3401-position model. The record is from RNAcentral. Lineage: Eukaryota; Dinophyceae; Dinophysales; Dinophysaceae.
ACAAUAGUAAGCGGAGGAUAACAAACUAAACGAGGACCCUCCAUAGUAAUGGCGAAUGAACAGGGGUGAGCUCAUUGUGGAAAUUGGGGCAUGGUGCUUUGACUUGUAAUGGAGUGUGGCAUUGCUGACAGAGGCGCAGAUGUAAGUCUCUUGGAACAGAGCACCAAUGGAGGUGAGAGUCCUGCUUGGCGUUUGCAGCACAUCCCCUGUGCAUGGCGUGCAUGGGUAGAAUCACGCUCCUUGGAAGUGGAGCGCAAAGGGGGUGGUAGCUUUCAUCUGAAGCCAACCAUGGGUUCAGGACCGAUAGGAAACAAGUACCAUGAGGGAAAGGUGAAAAGGACUUUGGACAGAGAGUUAAACGUGCCUGAACUUGCUGAAGGAGAAGUGAACGGAACCAGUGUUGCUGGGUGAGAUUGCUGCAUGUGUUGCAGAUUAGUUGCCGAGUAGGUGUGUGCAACCUGUCAAUGGUUGAGUGUGUGUGUGUGUGCGUGUGUGGCGUGUCUUGCCCUGCAUGCCAUCGUGCGCUUAUGCUCUAAGACAACUCAAUGUGCAUGGUGACAUGUUUCAGAACCUAAGAAUGUGACAUGUGUGAUUGGGUAUAAGCUUGUCCAUUUUUUGCAUGGCUGCCGAGCUUGUUGCCCACAGCGGUUAGCGUGAUUGGGCGAAGCAUUCCUCUUCGCAGUAGUUGACUAAAUGGGGUUGU